Molecule: ribosomal RNA, 468 nt
Filed under: uncultured bacterium
Lineage: Bacteria
Description: partial 16S ribosomal RNA
Rfam family: Bacterial small subunit ribosomal RNA
Source: RNAcentral
GACGAACGCUGGCGGCGUGCUUAACACAUGCAAGUCGAACGGAAAGGCCCUGCUUUUGUGGGGUGCUCGAGUGGCGAACGGGUGAGUAACACGUGAGUAACCUGCCCUUGACUUUGGGAUAACUUCAGGAAACUGGGGCUAAUACCGGAUAGGAGCUCCUGCUGCAUGGUGGGGGUUGGAAAGUUUCGGCGGUUGGGGAUGGACUCGCGGCUUAUCAGCUUGUUGGUGGGGUAGUGGCUUACCAAGGCUUUGACGGGUAGCCGGCCUGAGAGGGUGGCCGGCCACAUUGGGACUGAGAUACGGCCCAGACUCCUACGGGAGGCAGCAGUGGGGAAUAUUGCACAAUGGGCGGAAGCCUGAUGCAGCAACGCCGUGUGCGGGAUGACGGCCUUCGGGUUGUAAACCGCUUUCGCCUGUGACGAAGCGUGAGUGACGGUAAUGGGUAAAGAAGCACCGGCUAACUACGUG